Carassius auratus (goldfish) is the source of this 1251-nucleotide long non-coding RNA. RefSeq lists it as uncharacterized. The transcript is spliced from 4 exons. The record is from RefSeq and is a predicted model, not a curated record. NCBI's taxonomy places the organism in Eukaryota, Metazoa, Chordata, Actinopteri, Cypriniformes, Cyprinidae.
GCACCUUAUGUUGCACUCUUAAAAUUAGCCCUAAAAGGACAGCUUUCUCAUCCCCUUAAGUGUCCAGCUUCCCCAGAGUCUUGUCUAUUAAAAACCUUGUUUGUCCUGGCAGAUGGGAACUGGCUCUCUGCUUGAUCUCAAAGAAUGCAUCUAAAAGCCUCCGAAAUGUCCAUAUCAACACUCUCCAAUCUGCCAUCAUCAAUGAGAUCAACGCUCAUGGAUGGCCAGCAGUCUACUUUACAUCAGCAUGUCGAGCAGACUUCAUUUGACCAAGAGGUGGCAGUGUAGCUCUCAGGAUCCCUCCUCGUGUCACUGAUCUUCUCCUUUGUGUCUUGGAGAGAUUAAGCAGUUCGAUUGGCAGAAUGAUUUGAUUAAAGAAGGCUCUUUGGUGUUAAAGAGAGCCUUUGAAGAUGAAACAACUGCAUUCCAAGUCCCAGUCUCCCUCCCUGGAGACAUGCUUUCCAAAAGGCUACAGCCACAGCACAAAGCUAGCCUUGACAUUUGCAUAAAUCCAUCAGCGUCACCACGACAGCGCUGACUCCUAGGUCACCAUCCGCCGAUAAAUUUAGAAAGAAAACAAAACUAGGCAGGAAUGGUAAAAAAAACUGUUCUAAAGAUUUUGCAUUGCUAUGCUGCAGUCAGAUGAUUACAUUGACAGGUCUCAGAUGAGCGCUUUUCAGGAACAAGCAAUACAAAAACAGCCAUGGCUUUUGUUAAUGCCUGGAGUUUUACAACAUGACAUGUAAGUGUGCGUGAGAUUGUUUGUGUGUGUGAGAGUGCUGCUUGAAGAAGGAGGGAGUGCAUAUGAAUUAGUCUGUCCAAGAUUCACAAGUAAAUGCUGUGGACAAGGCCACUGGCCUCACCUGGCAGUCGAUUGUCUUAAUUUCACCAGUGUCACUUUCAGUUUAACCGGAGCCUGAGAUGAGAGUUAACUCUGCAGGCUCCACCUCCUGCUCUCUGGAGCUACAAGUGUGCAGGCUGCAACAGCAGUGGCUUACAGACAGGAAGUAGACAACUGUGUGACAAGAGAUCAUCUUCAGACUGAAUGGUUAUUGUAGCUGGAUCUGUAAUGAUCCGGCAUGUUUGACACAGUUGCAUGUUGUUGUUGUUGUUUUUUUUUUAAGAAUUACAAAUCUAAUAGAUCACUUAUUGUUCUUCUGUUAUGUUCUUCUGUUAGCCAAAUAUGUGACUCUGGACAUCAAAACCUGUCAUAAGUGGCAUGUGUAGCAAUAGCCAACAAUACAUUGUAUG